UGGGGAAUAUUGGACAAUGGGGGCAACCCUGAUCCAGCCAUGCCGCGUGAGUGAUGAAGGCCUUAGGGUUGUAAAGCUCUUUCGCCGGUGAAGAUAAUGACGGUAACCGGAGAAGAAGCCCCGGCUAACUUCGUGCCAGCAGCCGCGGUAAUACGAAGGGGGCUAGCGUUGUUCGGAAUUACUGGGCGUAAAGCGCACGUAGGCGGAUGUUUAAGUCGGGGUGAAAUCCCAGGGCUCAACCCUGGAACUGCCUUCGAUACUGGACGUCUCGAGUCCGAGAGAGGUGAGUGGAAUUCCGAGUGUAGAGGUGAAAUUCGUAGAUAUUCGGAAGAACACCAGUGGCGAAGGCGGCUCACUGGCUCGGAACUGACGCUGAGGUGCGAAAGCGUGGGGAGCAAACAGGAUUAGAUACC
RNAcentral lists this ribosomal RNA (413 nucleotides) under uncultured bacterium. RNAcentral describes it as "bacterial SSU rRNA". It matches the Rfam family "Bacterial small subunit ribosomal RNA", at positions 355 to 786 of the family's 1533-position model. The record is from RNAcentral.